CCUGAUGCAGCGACGCCGCGUGAGGGAGUGACGGCCUUCGGGUUGUAAACCUCUUUCAGUAGGGAAGAAGCGAAAGUGACGGUACCUGCAGAAGAAGCGCCGGCUAACUACGUGCCAGCAGCCGCGGUAAUACGUAGGGCGCAAGCGUUAUCCGGAAUUAUUGGGCGUAAAGAGCUCGUAGGCGGUUUGUCGCGUCUGCCGUGAAAGUCCGGGGGCUCAACUCCGGAUCUGCGGUGGGUACGGGCAGACUAGAGUGAUGUAGGGGAGACUGGAAUUCCUGGUGUAGCGGUGAAAUGCGCAGAUAUCAGGAGGAACACCGAUGGCGAAGGCAGGUCUCUGGGCAUUAACUGACGCUGAGGAGCGAAAGCAUGGGGAGCGAACAGGAUUAGAUACCCUGGUAGUCCAUGCCGUAAACGUUGGGCACUAGGUGUGGGGGACAUUCCACGUUUUCCGCGCCGUAGCUAACGCAUUAAGUGCCCCGCCUGGGGAGUACGGCCGCAAGGCUA
RNAcentral lists this ribosomal RNA (506 nucleotides) under uncultured Actinomycetes bacterium. RNAcentral's name for it is "bacterial SSU rRNA". It matches the Rfam family "Bacterial small subunit ribosomal RNA", at positions 382 to 896 of the family's 1533-position model. Lineage: Bacteria; Bacillati; Actinomycetota; Actinomycetes. The record is from RNAcentral.